AUACGGAGGAUCCGAGCGUUAUCCGGAUUUAUUGGGUUUAAAGGGUGCGCAGGCGGCCAUUUAAGUCAGCGGUUAAAUCGUGGGGCUCAACCCCAUCCUGCCGUUGAUACUGGGUGGCUUGAUUGCGGUCGAGGUUGGCGGAAUUCGUUGUGUAGCGGUGAAAUGCAUAGAUAUGACGAAGAACACCGAUUGCGUAGGCAGCUGACCAGGCCGCAAAUGACGCUCAUGCACGAAAGUGCGGGGAUCGAACAUGAUUAGAUACCCUGGUAGUCCGCACAGUAAACGAUGAAUACUUGUUUUCGGCGAUAUAAUGUCGGAGGCAAAGCGAAAGCGAUAAGUAUUCCACCUGGGGAGUACGCCGGCAACGGUGAAACUCAAAGGAAUUGACGGGG
This 392-nucleotide ribosomal RNA is filed under the name uncultured bacterium. RNAcentral's name for it is "partial 16S ribosomal RNA". It matches the Rfam family "Bacterial small subunit ribosomal RNA", at positions 523 to 918 of the family's 1533-position model. The record is from RNAcentral.